RNAcentral lists this long non-coding RNA (3193 nucleotides) under Cairina moschata (Muscovy duck). RNAcentral describes it as "domestica (muscovy Duck (domestic type)) lncRNA (ENSCMMG00000008089.1)". The record is from RNAcentral. Lineage: Eukaryota; Metazoa; Chordata; Aves; Anseriformes; Anatidae.
AUGGCUCCGGCGCGGCCCCGUCCCGGCGUGUGCCGCAGCCCCCGCCCCGCGCCCCCAGCCCGGCUCUGCCCUGCCCUGCCCUGCCCCCGCCUCGCCAUCCCCGCGGCUCCGCUCCGCGCCGGCUCCUGCGAGCAAAGUUUGCAGCGCAGCCCCGCUGGGGGUGCCCCCCCCUCCGUGCGGCGGGGCUGCACCGCCUGGGGGGGGGACGGGGACACCGGGGGGGGCCGGCUGCCGGCUCGGCUCGGCCUGGCCUCCCCUCCCCUCCGUGCCCCCGGCCCCGCCGCCAGGCCGCGGAGGGCAGCGGGGGCACGGCCAGGGCAGGGCCGGUUCGGCUCCGCCGCGCACCCCCGGCUCGCCCCGAUCCGACCCGACCCGGCCCGGCUCGGCUCGGGGGCGGUCACGCCGGGCUCGCCCCGGUCAUUGUGUGCAGGAGGCUGCGGCCGCCCCCCCGCAGCCGCCGGUGGCACGGCCCCGCCGCUUUGUAAGGCGCCGCUUUGUGCCUCCGAGCCCCCCCCCCCCGGCCCCCGCUCACCUUCCCCGCGGGCGGCGGGGCCGCUCCAUGGGGCGGCGGGGGCAGAGCCUGGGGCAGAGCCCGCGGCGCUGCCCGGCGGGGCUGGGGCCGAGGCCGGGAGCGGGGCCGGGCGCGGUGCAGUGAGCGGGGCUGCCACUGGGGUCAGGGAGCAGGCACCAGGAAACACGGCGGCCACGGAGCGCUGCUCGCACGCACACACACACACACACACACACACACGACGCGGCUCCUCCCGCCGCCUUGCACUUCACCCCCCCGGGCAGGGAGGCAGGCAGGCAGGGAGGAAUCGCUGCUGCAUUUCGUCUCCCAAGUGCGGCAGAGCCUCCCCCCGCCCAGCCCGGCCGCACAGGCCGCCCCGAGCAGCGGCCGGGCGCGGAGCCGCAGCCCCGGGGCUCGACCCCAGCCUCAGCCCGGGCAGAGGGGGCCGGGGGGCGAUGUGUAGGGGUGAGGGGAGCGGCCCCACAGCCCCCGCGGGGCUCCAGGCGGGCAGCGCCUCCCCGCAGCCGGCUCCUGCGGUGGCUGAGCCAACCCCCGCCGGGAGGGAAAAAGCAGCGCACAGCAGCGGUACCCGGAGUACCCUUUGGGAUGAGGAUACUCCAACGCCCUGGGGAUAUGCUCAGCCAGGGAAUGCCCUAACCUAAAAAAACAGCACCUCAGAAGGAAGCACCAUCACACCACCUCCUCUUCAAGCUAGGUCUUCCCCACAAAGAGAGAAAGUCGCUAUCCUGUGUUCCUGUCUCAGCCCAGCAAGAGCCACAGACAGAUUCACCACAUCCAAGGAAGGUGCGGUAGAACUCGCAGAAUCCCUGGCUGCAUCCAACCCCUUGUUUGAGUUUGGAUUCAGUGUUAGCUCUCAGCCUGAUUUGUGGUGGGUCGUUGAUUUUUAUUUGGUCACAAGUAUCCUGGGACACGUUUUCUGACCUUGCUGUGUAUUCACACUGAAAAUACAAUUGAUGAUGUUAAUAAUAGUAAUAAUAAACAUUUAUUCCUAGGUUAUGAAUCAUGUAGUUGCAUGAUGUGGGUCGCAAUGCUUCCUGCAAUCUAUCUUAUUUAAUACUGAAAGAAAUAGAUAUGAAUACCAGUUUACCUGUUCUGCUAGGAAACAAUGCUGGGGAGACCAAUUUCCCUCAUCUUUAUCCCCAAAGAACAACAAAGACAGCAAAAAAGGGUUAGCCCUGUGGAGUAAAAGGUGUCCCAAUGUCAUUGUUGCAUGCAAAGAUCAGAUAAGCACCUGGUUUGUUCUGUCUGUGAAGACAGCUUUAUCCAAAUAAAGCAUAGUGCAUUUUAUCAUUCUGUAAUGGAAAAGACCUGUCACUCUUUGAAUAUCAUCAUAUGGUCGGUGGCCGGCAGAUAAUGGACUGUUAAGUGUCAAGGUGACUGGCUUUGAAUGUGCACAAAACUAAAAAUUAUAGACCUGUCAUUCCAUAGGCAGGCCACAAUUAGCUGUCUAUGCAACUUGAAAUUUCCAUUUUGCCAGAUGAAUGAUCAAUUGGCUACACUUUCUCAAUAUAGAUGCAUUUUUAGUUUUUUUGCACUCAGGAUUUUAUCUUUUUAAUAAGGUUUUUCAAACAACUGUGCAGUGCACUUAAGCAGAUGGGGUUACAAGUGAGCCGCACAGUUGUCGUCUCCCCAAACACAUACACAAAGACAGUCACAAGUAUUUUAUAAUCAACACUUUUUACAUUAAUUUCCUCUAGCCAUACUCUUGCCUAUAAUGUUUUUGUCAAGGAUAUGACGCUAUGGAACACAAGCUACAGAAAAUUCACAGCUUCAGAGUUCACAGCUGUUUGUUUUGAUUACCAAGGUAAUAAUUUUUCUACAUUUUGCCAUCAGUCUACCCUCACAUAGUUAAUAUAUGAGAUGUGAGCUAAUGGUACUAUGAGUUAGAAAUGAAAUGUUUCCAAUUGUCACCUUCUAAAAGGAAAUGCACUUUUUUCUUGGAGACAUUUUUCUCUAUAUGGCUUACUAAAACCAUUUUAAGGUGGUUUGGGCAGGGGCCUUAUUUUAUGCUGCUAAAGCUGCACAAGCUACCACGGUGAUACAUCAGUGAUGACUCUUACACAACCUUAUUUGAAAAGAAACAAACCACACAAUCAAAAAAGUUCAGAGUCCCGUGAUGUAUAUCAAUGUACGUACCAUAACCCUUUUCGUCCUGGACAACUAGCAGUAAUUUGCUUUCUUUCAGGCUGCCUGCCUUUGCGGAAGAAACUGCAUAACAUGGCGCCUGACUGUGAGAACGGGAUUACAAAAUGGCGGCCUUGGUAACUUCAUGGUUUGUAAACAGCACAGUAUCAAGCCAAUGCUGCCUCAGUGUAGUUCUAAAAUUAAAAAAGUGCCUUAAAGCUAUACCUGCAACUGCACAUAGUGUUACUGCACCUCUCCAUUCCCUUUUUUUUUUUUUUUUUUUUUAAAUAAACUCAGCCUGAUUUGUACCACAUGACGGGCAGAAUUCCUACUACCCGAUGUGGAAACGCUACACACAGGUUCUGUCCAAAGCCAUUUGCAAUAAAGGAAAGGCAUCUGGGAUCGUCACCAGACUUUGAAUCAGGCUGCAAUAUGUAGACUUGUAUCUUUACAGUACUUCCUACAUUGACAGAGCCCUCACAUGCAGUCCUGGAAGCUACACAGGGAUACUUUGGCAGUCUAACGAGGGCUGUUGAG